This 321-nucleotide ribosomal RNA is filed under the name uncultured Verticillium. Its description in RNAcentral is "partial 18S ribosomal RNA". The record is from RNAcentral. Lineage: Eukaryota; Fungi; Ascomycota; Sordariomycetes; Hypocreales.
GGAUCUGCCUCUGAAUUCACGGCAUCUGCCUCCGAAUUCAGGGCAACUGCCUAACAGGCGGUUGGUUCUGAUUCAGGACCAGCCUGAGUCACGAGAGAUAUGGGGAAGGUUCAGAGACUUGACGGGGGUGGGUGAAUUCACUGCUGCUGCAACAAUAUAAAUGGGGAGAGAUCCUCUUCUUCUUCUUCCAACAACCAAACCAAACCACAACUGAACCUCAAACAAGACCCACAAGCUCUUCAAAAUGUCCCAUUCUUCUCCCUCUCCUGUUCUCGCUAACGGGAGCGAGUAUGUCGUGAGGGAUGGAGGUUCGUCUGGUCA